This 477-nucleotide ribosomal RNA is filed under the name uncultured bacterium. Its description in RNAcentral is "bacterial SSU rRNA". It matches the Rfam family "Bacterial small subunit ribosomal RNA", at positions 365 to 832 of the family's 1533-position model. The record is from RNAcentral.
UUCGCAAUGCCCGAAAGGGUGACGAAGCGACGCCGCGUGUGGGAAGAAGGCCUUCGGGUUGUAAACCACUGUCGGGAGUUAAGAAAUGCAAGAAUGUUAAUAGCGUUUUUGCUUGACUAAGGCUCCGGAGGAAGCCACGGCUAACUCUGUGCCAGCAGCCGCGGUAAUACAGAGGCGGCAAGCGUUGUUCGGAAUUAUUGGGCGUAAAGAGCACGUAGGCGGCUAUGUAAGUCGGUUGUGAAAGCCUUCCGCUCAACGGAAGAACAGCAUCCGAUACUACAUGGCCUGAGUGCGGGAGGGGAGAGUGGAACUUCUGGUGGAGCGGUGAAAUGCGUAGAUAUCAGAAGGAACGCCGGCGGCGAAAGCGGCUCUCUGGCCCAUAACUGACGCUGAGUGUGCGAAAGCUAGGGGAGCAAACGGGAUUAGAUACCCCGGUAGUCCUAGCCGUAAACGAUGGGCACUAAGUAGAGGGGUUUU